This 485-nucleotide ribosomal RNA is filed under the name uncultured eukaryote. RNAcentral describes it as "partial 18S ribosomal RNA". It matches the Rfam family "Eukaryotic small subunit ribosomal RNA", at positions 15 to 396 of the family's 1831-position model. The record is from RNAcentral.
UGCCAGUAGUCAUAUGCUUGUCUCAAAGAUUAAGCCAUGCAUGUCCAAGUGCAAACCAAUUUGUACGGUGAAACUGCGAAUGGCUCAUUAAAUCAGUUAUAGUUUAUUUGAUGCACACUUGACCACUACAUGGAUAACCGUGGUAACCCCAGAGCUAAUACAUGCGCUGAGCAGGCAGCACCCGCAACGGUGCCGCCUGUGCAUUUAUUGGAUACUCACUUCCAAAGUGGCAGCCGACGGGCGGUGCUGGUUCGCGCCAGCCCCUGCCCGGCACCGGCUGCCAUGAACGGCCGCGCCGGACGCGAGUCCGGUGUGAGCGUGCCGCUGUUUGGACGAUUCACAAUAACUUUGCCGAUCGUAUGGCCACCGCGCCGACGACGCUUCAUUCAAAUUUCUGCCCUAUCAACUAUCGAUGGUAGGAUAGAGGCCUACCAUGGUCGUAACGGUACGGAGAAGUUAGGGUUCGAGUUCCGGAGUAGGGAGCC